UACGUAGGGGGCAAGCGUUGUCCGGAUUUAUUGGGCGUAAAGGGCGCGUAGGCGGCCACGCACGUCCGUUGUGAAAUCGCUCGGCUCAACUGGGCGGGGUCAGCGGAUACGGCGUGGCUAGAGCAAGCUAGGGGGCAAUGGAAUUCCCGGUGUAGUGGUGGAAUGCGUAGAUAUCGGGAAGAACACCAGUGGCGAAGGCGGUUGCCUGGAGCUUUGCUGACGCUGAUGCGCGAAAGCGUGGGUAGCGAACAGG
This 253-nucleotide ribosomal RNA is filed under the name uncultured bacterium. RNAcentral's name for it is "partial 16S ribosomal RNA". It matches the Rfam family "Bacterial small subunit ribosomal RNA", at positions 524 to 776 of the family's 1533-position model. The record is from RNAcentral.